RNAcentral lists this unclassified non-coding RNA (373 nucleotides) under soil metagenome. RNAcentral describes it as "partial contains 5.8S ribosomal RNA, internal transcribed spacer 2, and large subunit ribosomal RNA". The stretch from base 1 to 120 matches the Rfam family "5.8S ribosomal RNA", at positions 35 to 154 of the family's 154-position model. The record is from RNAcentral.
GAUGAAGAACGCAGCGAAAUGCGAUAAGUAAUGUGAAUUGCAGAAUUCAGUGAAUCAUCGAAUCUUUGAACGCACCUUGCGCUCCUUGGUAUUCCGAGGAGCAUGCCUGUUUGAGUGUCAUGAAUCUCUCAAACUCUUAGUUUCAUUACUGAGUGUUUGGAUUUGGAGGUCUAUGCUGGCGCAAGUCAGCUCCUCUUAAAUACAUUAGCUUGGGUCUUGCAUGUCUGGAUCCUUGGUGUGAUAAUUAUCUACGCCAUGAUGUCCCUUCAAGCCCUGCUUCUAAUCGUCUGAAUAAGACAAUUUAUUACUUGACAUCUGACCUCAAAUCAGGUAGGACUACCCGCUGAACUUAAGCAUAUCAAUAAGCGGAGGA